Molecule: long non-coding RNA, 721 nt
Organism: Bubalus bubalis (water buffalo)
Lineage: Eukaryota; Metazoa; Chordata; Mammalia; Artiodactyla; Bovidae
Exons: 3
Source: RefSeq, a predicted model, not a curated record
CAUGGACAGAGGAGCCUGGCAGGCUAUAGUCCAUGGGGUCGCAAACAGUCAGGCACAACUGUGUGACUAACACUUCUAAUUCACUAACCUUUGAGAAACACUGUGAAAGAAGGUAUAACUGUGUUUGUCUGAGUGUGUUACUCACUCAGUUGUGUCCAACUCUUUGCGACCACAUGGACUGCAGCCCACCAGGCUCCUUUGUCCAUGGAAUUCUCUAGGCAAGAGUAUUGGAGUGGAUUGCCAUUCCUUUCUCCAGGGGAUCUUCCUGACCCAGGGAUUGAACCCGGGUCUCCUGCAUUACAGGCAGAUUCUUUACCGUCUGAGCCAACAGGUAAGUAACUUGUGUUUAGAAAAUGUGAAAAGGGUAAGGGCAGAAAAGCUAAGACUUGAAUCUUAGUCAACUUGGUGUGAAGCAUAACUAUUUCUUUUUAAAGAGAAUUUAUAGUUCUUUUCACCAUUUCUAAAUGUUAUCAUUUGCUUCUUUUUCAUGUGUAGGGAAAAGGGGACUGAAGAAAAAGAAGGGUUCAUCUUCCCUUUUCCCACUCCAACCUCAGAAUGGAGAUUAUAGAUAAAAGGGUCUAUACCUCAGAAGAUUGUAUGAAGAUUAAAUGAGAAAAUACACAUAAAGACUCAGCCCAGUCUUUGGCACCUUGUAAGAUGUCCUAGAUACCAUUCUACUGCGUUAGAGCAAUGCUAAUGCGAACAAUGCCUCACAUGCAGG